AUGACUCGAUCUUCGCGUCUUCGAUGUGUCAUUGAAGAUAGCGUAAAGGAAAAUAAUGAUAUUACUUUACUAUUAGUGUCGUCCAAAUACUCGUGCCAGAAGACUCGGUAAGGCGAGAGACGCAAACGUUAUUCGUCUUGAUCAGGCGUAAAGGGUGUGUAGGCUGCUUUAAGUAUAUUAUAUUAAGUUUACCUUCAUAUCUUUAGAAAAGUUGACCAGUUUUAUUUUUCUAAAUUUAGAUUUAUCUAAAAUUAGAAAAAGUUUAUAGCUUCUAUAAGCAGAAGUUUAAGGCUCUGUAGGCUUUUUAUAAAUUUAUGUAGUUAAUAUAUAUCAAUUAAAGCUAGAAUCUAAAGGAGGUUAAAACAAUACUUAAGGUAGGAGUACUAACCGUAAAUAAUAAGUAGAGUGUUAAUGGCGAAGGCAUUUAUCCACUAAAGAUUGACGCUGAGAAACGAAAGUGAGGGCAGAAAAAAGGAUUAGAGACCCUUGUAUUCCUCACUGUCAACGAUGAAUGGUAGUUACUAGUUAGGAAUUAACUAGAGGCGAUGUUAACACGUAAACCAUUCCGCCUUGUGAGUACAACUGCAAAGUUGAAAACAAAAAAAUUAGUCGGUUUCGGAGCAAACGAAGUGAAGCAUGUUAUUUAUUAAAAA
RNAcentral lists this ribosomal RNA (653 nucleotides) under Hymenochaete longispora. Its description in RNAcentral is "SSU rRNA". It matches the Rfam family "Bacterial small subunit ribosomal RNA", at positions 386 to 955 of the family's 1533-position model. Lineage: Eukaryota; Fungi; Basidiomycota; Agaricomycetes; Hymenochaetales; Hymenochaetaceae. The record is from RNAcentral.